RNAcentral lists this ribosomal RNA (253 nucleotides) under uncultured bacterium. Its description in RNAcentral is "partial 16S ribosomal RNA". It matches the Rfam family "Bacterial small subunit ribosomal RNA", at positions 524 to 776 of the family's 1533-position model. The record is from RNAcentral.
UACGGAGGGUGCGAACGUUAAUCGGGAUCACUGGGCGUAAAGCGCACGUAGGCGGAUUGUUAAGUCAGGGGUGAAAUCCUGGAGCUCAACUCCAGAACUGCCUUUGAUACUGGCGAUCUUGAGUCCGGGAGAGGUGAGUGGAACUGCGAGUGUAGAGGUGAAAUUCGUAGAUAUUCGCAAGAACACCAGUGGCGAAGGCGGCUCACUGGCCCGGUACUGACGCUGAGGUGCGAAAGCGUGGGGAGCAAACAGG